GAAGUGAAGAUCUAAUUUUACGAAAUCGGAAUAUUUCCUCUUCAAAGAGUGUAAAAAAGGAAACUCCUUUGUGACCUUGUGCAUUUUACUUAACUCUCUCGGUAUCGGUUUCUUUUAAUCUGUUGAACAACCUGCAAGACAUGAGGGUUGUGGUGAGUUUUUAAUAAGAGCACUAGAGAGACAGUUUAAUCAGUGCAUGACCAAAAGCACACAGAAUAAACUGUAUCAUCAUGGAGGUCUGCCCAGGAAAUCCCCAAAAUACAGAAGGAUCAUAAGUAGAUGGAAAUUCUGUCAUAGAACAUCUCUCACAAGUGUGUUAUAAGAAUGACAGGGAAGCUACAGGUUACAACAGAUUUGUGAACUCAGCCAAGCGCAGUGGUGGCAGGGCCUAGCUGCUACAAAGAAGACAUGUUUUAGACAAAUACUCAUGUAUAUGGGCAAAAAACUCGAGGACUGUAUUUGUGACUAAUUGUAUAACAGGGUAUUUUAGUUUCUGUUCUGUGGAAAGUGUAAAGCAUUCCAACAAAGGAUUUUAAUGUAGAUUUUUUUUUUCACCCAUACUGUUGAUUGCUAAAUGUAAUA
Long non-coding RNA from Rhinopithecus roxellana (golden snub-nosed monkey), 582 nucleotides. RefSeq lists it as uncharacterized. The transcript has 3 exons. The record is from RefSeq and is a predicted model, not a curated record. NCBI's taxonomy places the organism in Eukaryota, Metazoa, Chordata, Mammalia, Primates, Cercopithecidae.